UUUGGUUGUGCAGUGGUACAGUGGUGUGUCACAAUGACAGUAGUUCACUUUCCUUCAUCCUUUUCUCCUUCACAGCCACUUGUGACCAAAGACUCUGCUGUCAGUUCCACUCUGCUCCAGUAGAGGAUGAUGUUCAGCGAGUUCACACAUCAAUGGAGCAAACAAAUGAAGCCAUUAUCAACCUUCAACCGGCGCUGUUGGAAGCAGUCGAGGACUUCGUGCUUAUAUUAAAUACAAGCUGAAAGUCCAACACCCACAGACAGGCAAAAUGGACAGUGUAACAGAAGCCUUGAAGACCAAGUGAAGACCUCCACCUUCACUGUGUAUAUUGUUGGCCAAGUAUGUGGUUUAUCUGGGAAUCGAACCCACGGAUCUCUGCUCUCCCUUUGAAAGGCAGGCGUGCUAACUGGAACCACAUUUACAUUUAUUUGCAUGUCAGCAUGCUCCUCAUUUUUCAACCUCAACAUUUGCAUUUUUCUAAUUUUAAAUAACUUGUCUUUACUGUGUACUAAGCAUACCUAUUCAAGAUGGAUGGAUGGAUGAAUGGAUGGAUGGAUGAAUGGAUGGAUGGAUGAAUGGAUGACAGACUGAUGGAAGGAGAACUUUAAUAAUACCUUGGGAGAGAGAAUGGAGUUUUUUUACAGACUUAUUAUACAGACUUAGUUCUCU
Long non-coding RNA from Cynoglossus semilaevis (tongue sole), 669 nucleotides. RefSeq lists it as uncharacterized. The transcript is spliced from 4 exons. NCBI's taxonomy places the organism in Eukaryota, Metazoa, Chordata, Actinopteri, Pleuronectiformes, Cynoglossidae. The record is from RefSeq and is a predicted model, not a curated record.